AACGCACAUUGCGCCCGCCAGCAUUCUGGCGGGCAUGCCUGUUCGAGCGUCAUUUCAACCCUCAAGCUCUGCUUGGUGUUGGGGCCCUACGUCUGACGUAGGCCCUCAAAGACAGUGGCGGACCCUCUCGGAGCCUCCUUUGCGUAGUAACUAACGUCUCGCACUGGGAUUCGGAGGGACUCUUGCCGUAAAACCCCCAAUUUUUACAGGUUGACCUCGGAUCAGGUAGGAAUACCCGCUGAACUUAA
RNAcentral lists this unclassified non-coding RNA (248 nucleotides) under uncultured Colletotrichum. Its description in RNAcentral is "sequence contains ITS2". The record is from RNAcentral. Lineage: Eukaryota; Fungi; Ascomycota; Sordariomycetes; Glomerellales; Plectosphaerellaceae.